This 512-nucleotide ribosomal RNA is filed under the name uncultured bacterium. Its description in RNAcentral is "partial 16S ribosomal RNA". It matches the Rfam family "Bacterial small subunit ribosomal RNA", at positions 28 to 507 of the family's 1533-position model. The record is from RNAcentral.
GAUGAACGCUGGCGGCGUGCCUAAUACAUGCAAGUCGAACGAAACUUCUUUAUCACCGAGUGCUUGCACUCACCGAUAAAGAGUUGAGUGGCGAACGGGUGAGUAACACGUGGGCAACCUGCCCAAAAGAGGGGGAUAACACUUGGAAACAGGUGCUAAUACCGCAUAACCAUAGUUACCGCAUGGUAACUAUGUAAAAGGUGGCUAUACUACCGCUUUUGGAUGGGCCCGCGGCGCAUUAGCUAGUUGGUAGGGUAAAGGCUUACCAAGGCAAUGAUGCGUAGCCGAAUUGAGAGGUUGAUCGGCCACAUUGGGACUGAGACACGGCCCAAACUCCUACGGGAGGCAGCAGUAGGGAAUCUUCCACAAUGGGCGAAAGCCUGAUGGAGCAACGCCGCGUGGGUGAAGAAGGUCUUCGGAUCGUAAAACCCUGUUGUUAGAGAAGAAAGUGCGUGAGAGUAACUGUUCACGUUUCAACGGUAUCUAACCAGAAAGCCACGGCUAACUACGUG